GAGCUUGGCGUAUUUUACGAACUGGGGAAGUAGCAGCAGCAGAAGUCCAGAAACGGGGAGAAAUCGAAGAAAGUGGAGGCGACCAUAAAGGGUUCUCGGGACGGUGCGGCACAGGGAUUCUGCAGGAAAUGAGGGCUGCGGGAUCUCAGAGGGAAGAGAGCAAUCAGAGGUGCCAGGCGAAAGAGCAAGAUCGAGUCACCAUGACCACCAUCCAAGCCACGAAGGAUCCCCUCCUCCGGGAUCCUACACCCAGCAAGAUCCCAGUACGCUCUCGGAGACGCCCGCCUUUCCUCACAGUCAAACCGAGCGCCCAGGACCAGGAGAACCAAGAUCCAAGGACUCUGAUGGAGAAGUCUCAGCUCAGUAUUCAACGUAACUUUGUUGACUCAGCAGGCCCCAGUUCGAAAGCCACACACCAAACAGAGAAAUCACAAAGGUCGAUGGCGAUCACUCAGCUUCGGAACCCCCUGGAGGAGCUCAGGCCUAGCCCUGGGGAACAAAAUUCGGGGCUUGGGCCCCCUCCACAAACAGAAGCUCCAGGGCCUAUAGAAUUUGUGGCUGACCCUGUAGCCCUGGCUACCAUCCUAUCAGGUGAGGGGGUGAAGAGCUGUCCAAUGGGGCGUCAGUCCAGCCUGGCUCAGAGAGUACUGGUUCGAGAGAGCCAGGGAGGUACCAUCCGGCGGGGCCAGGUUUCUCGGGCCUCUGCAUACUUGGCCCCCAGGACCCCCAUGCACCAACUAGGCCCUGCCAGGGCUUCCUGCUUUUCAAGGCUGGAGGGAUCUGGACCCCGGGGUUUGACUUUGUGUCCCCAGAGGCUGAAGGCUCUGGCUCUACCUUCAGGAUCUUUUCAUGCCUCUACUCGCCCUCAUUUACAGGAGCUCAGAAGAGAGACAAGUGGCAAGAACUGGACUUCAGUGAGCCAGGUCUCAGGAUUGCUCCUGGAAACCCCUGCGCAGCCUGCUUCUCUCUCUGAAGAACAUGAAAGGAUACCUCAUUCAGAUGAAGGAGGAGGAGCUCUCCUAGGUCUGGCCCAGCGAGUACCUUUAAGAGAGACAGCACACCCUAGGGAUGGCCUGAUGGCCUCCUCUGCUCCUUUGGCCCAGUCCAUGCCUGGCCGUGUGGUACCGCCUUCUGUCACCCAUCCGUCACCCUUUGGACGGGCUCAGCGUGUACCCUCGCCUGGCAUCCCUGCUCUGCGUCUCGCCAUUCGACCCAAAACCCAGUUCACUCCAUCCACCCCCAGAGUUCAGCAGGCCCAAUGGUUGAGUGACCUCACCCCUCAGUCCUGUCCUGAAGAGCUUGCUCUGCCUUGGGAGCAGAUUGCUGUACGGUUGUUUGACCAGGACAGUGGUGUAAGGUUGCAGGAACAGUCUGGGAAACCAGCCGUGGCAAGUCCUGGAUCACACCCGAAUGGAGCCCUCAACUUCCAGGAGCUAAAAAUGCAGCGCAUCAGUAUCCUGCAGCAGUUAUUGCGUCAGGAGGUAGAAGGGCUGGCAGUGGACAAGUAUGCCCACCUUAAUGGAAGCUGCUCUCUGGAUAUGGCUGAACUUCAGCCCCUGCUGGCUGAGAUUUCUAGGACCCUGAAUGCCCCAAAGCAUAACUCUGGAACAUCCCACCUUCCUGAACUGUCACAACACUCCAAGCUGCCAGAGCCCUGCCCUUCAGAGGAGUGUGGGGAAGCACAGCCCUGCUCUGGGGUGACAGAACCAGAGCCAGACGUGAUACAACCCUGCCCACCAAUGGAGCCAGGGCCUCCAGAGUCUUGCUCUGAGGUUAGGCCAGAGACACCAGAGUCCCCUUCCCAGAAGCAGCCUGAGAAAGCAGAGCCCUGCCCACCAGUAGAGCCUGGACCCCUUCAGCCUAGCCCCCAGGGACAGACUGUGUCCGAAGAGGCCUGUCCUACUGUAGGGUUGGGGACUUGCUGCCUGGAACCAAAAUGCCUAGAGGCCAGUCCAUGGCGCUGCUGCAGUCAGAGGGCUGCAGCAACCACCAGCCUGACCUUCUCUUCCCAACGCCCCCUUUGUGCUAGCCCCCCUAUCUGCUCACUGCAGUCUACAAGGCCCCUGACAGGCCAGGCAGGUCCUAGCAGUCUGGCCCCUCAAACACUGGCCCUGAGGCAGCGCCUCAAAGCAUGUCUCACUGCUAUCCACUGCUCCCAUGAGGCUCGACUGGACGAUGAGUGUGCCUUUUACACUAGCCGAGUCCCUUCCCCAGGCCCAACUCGGGUCUGUACCAACCCUGUGGCCACACUGCUUGAAUGGCAGGACGCCCUGUGUUUCAUUCCGGUUGGUUCUGCAGCUUCUCAGAGCUCUCCAUCCUGAGGCUUCCACCUCCAACCACUUCCACCCUUCCCAGAUCACCCCUUCCCUUUAGUCCUUAUUUAUUUGGUGUUCCCAUGGAACUGGGGCCCAACAUUCUUUUAUUAACUUUAAUAAAGUUUCUAUAGUCUUUGAAUAGCCAGCUAGUGAGUCUAAAGCAUCC
Molecule: long non-coding RNA, 2481 nt
Filed under: Cavia porcellus (domestic guinea pig)
Lineage: Eukaryota; Metazoa; Chordata; Mammalia; Rodentia; Caviidae
Description: lncRNA (ENSCPOG00000035279.1)
Source: RNAcentral